Chroicocephalus ridibundus (black-headed gull) is the source of this 1238-nucleotide long non-coding RNA. RefSeq lists it as uncharacterized. The transcript is spliced from 3 exons. The record is from RefSeq and is a predicted model, not a curated record. NCBI's taxonomy places the organism in Eukaryota, Metazoa, Chordata, Aves, Charadriiformes, Laridae.
GCUCAGGAAUGUGAAAAAAAGACCCCAAACCCACACCCAGCAGAUCCCCCCCCGGCGAAACCUACAGGAGAACGGGAAAAUGGGAUCACUGUCUGCGCUCCGGCCAAAAAUCCAAGCUGACUUGGAGAAGUCAAGACACUCUGGAUCGGGGAAUUGGGAAACCUUGGCUCAUUGGUUAUUUUUUUCUGUGUUUUGCAGAUCUUUGUGUCAGUGGUUUUUCUGUGUUUUGCAGCGUUUUGCCAUCUUUUGAGGCACGAGGACGUCCAACCUUGGGGGUCUUCGGUACCGCGGAGCUGCGAAGACCCAGAAGCGCCAUCAUCCCACCCAAAAAAAAAAAAGGCACGAGGAGAUGACAGAACCCACCUCGGGGUAUGACACCAUCAUCAUGGAAUAGUUCGGGUUGGAACAUGCACAAAUGGGAAAAAUGCAAAGGAAAAAAAAAAAAAAGGAAAUUAUGGGGGGGGACAAAAAAAAAAAAAGACACAAAGAUAUGGCAGGAGUCAUCUCAACCGCACGGGCAGAAGAUCCAACCUCAAGCCCGAAGCCCCGGAGCCAUUCCUGGCAGAGAGAUACCCGUAAAUUCCCGUGGCGUCAUCUGCAGAGCGCAGUCGAUCACCAUAAAGGAGAGCUUUAAACCGCCUUACAGAUGUCAAAGGAUUAAACUUCAGGCUGGUGAAGUAUUGUGAAGACCUGGGUAUUAUUUUUGCUUCUCCGUUUGUCGUUCAAUAUCGUCAGACAGAGCACAGCUCUGUGGGUCCGACUGUCCUCUGCCAUUAACGAGGCUCGAGCCUGUUGCAUGCAAGUUUUCAGGAUGAGGCCUGGGAAUACCUUAUAAGCUGAAGAUGAGCAAACUUUAAAUAUUUGCUGUCAGACUCCAGAAGCAAGCUUGCUGCCUUGCGGUUUUACCUUAACGGGGCUCUGAACGGACACAAACCUCUGCGCUACGUGGACCAGGGUAUUGCAUCAAGGAGCUGAGUCCUUACACCUGCCUGCCACGUACCAACCUCUACGGUGAGUCACUCCAUUAACUGAAAAAUUCUGUGUGUGUGAAAAACGUAGGUUCCGUGGCUCAGUUAUGUGCUGUAAAUAAAUCCCGUAGCUACAUUUCGCAGCUAAACUAAAGCCUUUGUCAUCCUUCAGUCAUCACACCUAUUGCACCGUCAAAACUGCUGCAAAGGUUAACGACGCAUCUCUUGGAAGCACAAACUGAAUAUUCAGCUGCUUUAAUGUGCAGUUGU